GUCAACAUAGUUUAAUAAAAACACUAGGUUGUGGACCUAAAAAUAGAAGUUUAACCCUUCUUGUUAACC
Molecule: transfer RNA, 69 nt
Filed under: Chalcides ocellatus
Lineage: Eukaryota; Metazoa; Chordata; Lepidosauria; Squamata; Scincidae
Description: tRNA-His
Rfam family: tRNA
About the family: Transfer RNA (tRNA) molecules are approximately 80 nucleotides in length.
Source: RNAcentral